This 651-nucleotide long non-coding RNA is filed under the name Homo sapiens (human). RNAcentral's name for it is "long intergenic non-protein coding RNA 629 isoform A". Lineage: Eukaryota; Metazoa; Chordata; Mammalia; Primates; Hominidae. The record is from RNAcentral.
GAGAAGGGCACUGGGCGCCCAGAGUAACCAACACCGAGACGAAUAGCGAGGGCUCGGGGAGAAAAAACGGAGGAUGGCAAACGGCAAAGCCAAGGGCACGAGGUAGCGCAGCGCGCACCCAGAGGCUCCUGGGACGGACACCACCCCACGCUCACGGGUCCUCUGGCGGUGUCCUUUGAGCUGCCGGGACGGCGCAAGGUGGCUGAGCGAAGCUUUUUGCUCGCUGCCAUGUUAUGAGGACACUUGGAGAAAGCUACAGGAGAGGAACUGAGGUCUCCUGCCAUCAGCCACUUGAGUGAGCAUGGGAGUGGAUUCUCCAAACUCCAGUUAAGACUUGAGAUGUCCACAGUGGCAGCCACUAGCUUGACUGCAACUUACGAGAGACCCUGAGCCAGAGGCACUCAGUUAAGUCAUACACAGUUUCCUGACCCGUAAAACCUGUGACACAAUGAAGGUUUGUUGUUUUGGGGGUAAUCCGUUAUUCAGCAAUAGAUAACGAAUACAGAAGGCUUGUAAUUGUAUAACCAACGUGAGUUUAUAAGCGGAUAUCUGACCUCAUUUGUUUUCUCCUGAAAAAGUUAUAGAAAAAUCACAAGACUGCAAGUCACUCUCUCUCUUUCUUUUGUGGGGAAUAAACAAGUAUAAUUACAA